RNAcentral lists this ribosomal RNA (422 nucleotides) under uncultured bacterium. Its description in RNAcentral is "bacterial SSU rRNA". It matches the Rfam family "Bacterial small subunit ribosomal RNA", at positions 360 to 773 of the family's 1533-position model. The record is from RNAcentral.
AAUCUUCCACAAUGGGGGCAACCCUGAUGGAGCAACUCCGCGUGCAGGAUGAAGACCUUCGGGUCGUAAACUCCUUUCGAUCGAGACGAAUGGCCUCUGGGUGAACAAUCCGGAGGAGUGACGGUACCGAGAGAAGAAGCCCCGGCUAACUCCGUGCCAGCAGCCGCGGUAAUACGGGGGGGGCAAGCGUUGUUCGGAAUUACUGGGCGUAAAGGGCUCGUAGGCGGCCAACUAAGUCAGACGUGAAAUCCCUCGGCUUAACCGGGGAACUGCGUCUGAUACUGGAUGGCUUGAAUCCGGGAGAGGGAUGCGGAAUUCCAGGUGUAGCGGUGAAAUGCGUAGAUAUCUGGAGGAACACCGGUGGCGAAGGCGGCAUCCUGGACCGGCAUUGACGCUGAGGAGCGAAAGCCAGGGGAGCAAAC